CAGUCGCCACGGGAAUACGGAGGGUGCAAGCGUUAAUCGGAAUUACUGGGCGUAAAGCGCACGCAGGCGGUCUGUCAAGUCAGAUGUGAAAUCCCCGGGCUUAACCUGGGAACUGCAUUUGAAACUGGCAGGCUAGAGUCUUGUAGAGGGGGGUAGAAUUCCAGGUGUAGCGGUGAAAUGCGUAGAGAUCUGGAGGAAUACCGGUGGCGAAGGCGGCCCCCUGGACAAAGACUGACGCUCAGGUGCGAAAGCGUGGGGAGCAAACAGGAUUAGAGACCCCUGUAGUCCCUGUCUCUUAUAA
Molecule: ribosomal RNA, 301 nt
Filed under: uncultured bacterium
Lineage: Bacteria
Description: partial 16S ribosomal RNA
Rfam family: Bacterial small subunit ribosomal RNA
Source: RNAcentral